AUCUCUGUAGCACAAUGGAUAGUGCAUUGGACUUUUAAUUUAAAGGUCGUGGGUUUGAUUCCCACCUGGGAUG
Non-coding RNA from Trichonephila clavipes, 73 nucleotides. Lineage: Eukaryota; Metazoa; Arthropoda; Arachnida; Araneae; Nephilidae. The record is from the annotation of a GenBank genome assembly.